RNAcentral lists this ribosomal RNA (460 nucleotides) under uncultured bacterium. Its description in RNAcentral is "partial 16S ribosomal RNA". It matches the Rfam family "Bacterial small subunit ribosomal RNA", at positions 338 to 795 of the family's 1533-position model. The record is from RNAcentral.
CCUACGGGUGGCAGCAGUGAGGAAUAUUGGUCAAUGGGCGCGAGCCUGAACCAGCCAAGUAGCGUGAAGGAUGACGGCCCUACGGGUUGUAAACUUCUUUUAUAAAGGAAUAAAGUGAGGCACGUGUGCCUUUUUGUAUGUACCUUAUGAAUAAGGAUCGGCUAACUCCGUGCCAGCAGCCGCGGUAAUACGGAGGAUCCGAGCGUUAUCCGGAUUUAUUGGGUUUAAAGGGAGCGUAGUGGGGUUGUUAAGUCCGUUGUUAAAGUUUGCGGCGCCACCGUCAAAUUGCCAUUGAUACUGGCAGCCUUGAGUACAGUUGAGGUAGGCGGAAUUCGUGGUGUAGCGGUGAAAUGCUUAGAUAUCACGCAGAACUCCGAUUGCGAAGGCAGCUUACUAGACUGCAACUGACAUUGAUGCUCGAAAGUGUGGGUAUCAAACAGGAUUAGAUACCCUUGUAGUC